AUCCCUUUGUGGCUCAUAAGCAUGAUUGGUCUUUCUCAACUUUGUAUGAGAUGUGCCUUCCUCAAAUUUUCUAUGACACCAGCACAUUACUCACCUGAUA
This is a small nucleolar RNA of Heterocephalus glaber (naked mole-rat), 100 nucleotides long. The record is from Ensembl. NCBI's taxonomy places the organism in Eukaryota, Metazoa, Chordata, Mammalia, Rodentia, Bathyergidae.